RNAcentral lists this non-coding RNA (138 nucleotides) under Candidatus Desulfofervidus. Its description in RNAcentral is "c-di-GMP sequence". It matches the Rfam family "c-di-GMP-I riboswitch aptamer". From Rfam's summary of the family: GEMM was predicted in a large-scale screen for bacterial structured RNA regulatory elements. Genes associated with GEMM are involved in a diverse array of functions, including chemotaxis regulation, signal transduction, secretion and chitin. The record is from RNAcentral. Lineage: Bacteria; Pseudomonadati; Thermodesulfobacteriota; Candidatus Desulfofervidia; Candidatus Desulfofervidales; Candidatus Desulfofervidaceae.
UUGGAAAAAGCCAAAUCUACCGUGAGGUAGAGACGGAAAGCCACGGAACUUAAAAACGGUAGAUGGUGGCUGGUAAUUAGUAAAAUAGCUAAUUACUAAUUACUAUUUGCUGUUUUAAAGUCAGCCGGGUUGCCGAAG